RNAcentral lists this ribosomal RNA (450 nucleotides) under uncultured Glomeromycotina. RNAcentral's name for it is "SSU rRNA". It matches the Rfam family "Eukaryotic small subunit ribosomal RNA", at positions 569 to 1022 of the family's 1831-position model. Lineage: Eukaryota; Fungi; Glomeromycota. The record is from RNAcentral.
AGCAGCCGCGGUAAUUCCAGCUCCAAUAGCGUAUAUUAAAGUUGUUGCAGUUAAAAAGCUCGUAGUUGAACUUCGGAAUUUAUUCAUUGGUCAGGCUUAACUGUCUGUACUGGUGUGAUGAAUUCCUACCUUCUGAGGAAUCUUCAUGCCAUUCACUUGGUGUGGUGGGGAAUCGGGACUGUUACUUUGAAAAAUUAGAGUGUUUAAAGCAGGCUAACGUCUGAAUACAUUAGCAUGGAAUAAUAAAAUAGGACGGCUUGGUUCUAUUUUGUUGGUUUCUAGGAUCACCGUAAUGAUUAAUAGGGAUAGUUGGGGGCAUUAGUAUUCAAUUGUCAGAGGUGAAAUUCUUGGAUUUAUUGAAGACUAACUACUGCGAAAGCAUUUGCCAAGGAUGUUUUCAUUAAUCAAGAACGAAAGUUAGGGGAUCGAAGACGAUCAGAUACCGUCGUA